This 774-nucleotide ribosomal RNA is filed under the name uncultured Neocallimastigales. RNAcentral describes it as "partial large subunit ribosomal RNA". It matches the Rfam family "Eukaryotic large subunit ribosomal RNA", at positions 23 to 649 of the family's 3401-position model. The record is from RNAcentral. Lineage: Eukaryota; Fungi; Neocallimastigomycota; Neocallimastigomycetes; Neocallimastigales.
AGAGAUGUGUGAUGACGCAUAUCAAUAAGCGGAGGAAAAGAAACUAACAAGGAUUCCCUUAGUAACGGCGAGUGAAGCGGGAAGAGCUCAAAUUUGAAAUCUUCAAGGUUCUACCUUGACGAAUUGUAGUUUAUAGAAGUGUUUUCUGUUAGUGGAGUGGCAAAAGUUCUUUGGAAUAGGACAUCAUAGAGGGUGAGAAUCCCGUAUUUGGUCAUUCCUCCUAGCGUUGUGAUACACUUUCAACGAGUCGGAUUGUUUGGGAAUGCAGUCCAAAAUGGGUGGUAAAUUUCAUUUAAAGCUAAAUAUUGGCGAGAGACCGAUAGCGAACAAGUACCGUGAGGGAAAGAUGAAAAGAACUUUGAAAAGAGAGUUAAACAGUACGUGAAAUUGUCAAAAGGGAAGCGUUUGACACCAGUGUUGUUUUUCCGAAAAUCAAUUACGAAUGUUUUAUUUUUGAGGAGUUAUGACUUCAUCGGCUUGCUCCUUUCUUUAUGAAACUUUCUUAAUGCACUUUUCGGUUAACAAGUCAACAUCAAUUUCUUUUGUUGUAAAAGGGUAUGAGGAAGGUGGCUUUCUUUUCGGAGAAAGUGUUUAUAGCCUUGUGCCUCUGCAAUCGGAGAGAUUGAGGUCUGCAGCGUAGAUCCUUCGGGGUUAGAUACGUUUGUGCUAAGUUAUAGCUUUUCAUAGACAACUUGUUGACUAUGUUUAGUCUUGUAGCUUACUCGCUUACGCUAUUUUACCUACGCUUAGGAUGUUGAGUAGCGACAUACGCAC